CUACGGGUCGCUGCAGUGAGGAAUAUUGCACAAUGGGGGGAACCCUGAUGCAGCAACGCCGCGUGGAGGAUGACGCAUUUCGGUGUGUAAACUCCUUUUAUAUGUCAAGAAAAUGACGGUAGCAUAUGAAUAAGCACCGGCUAACUCCGUGCCAGCAGCCGCGGUAAUACGGAGGGUGCAAGCGUUACUCGGAAUCACUGGGCGUAAAGGACGCGUAGGCGGGCUGGGAAGUCAGGUGUGAAAUCCUACAGCUUAACUGUAGAACUGCACUUGAAACUUCUAAUCUAGAGUAUGGGAGGGGGAGAUGGAAUUCGUGGUGUAGGGGUAAAAUCCGUAGAUAUCACUAGGAAUACCUAAAGCGAAGGCGAUCUCCUGGAACAUUACUGACGCUAAGGCGUGAAAGCGUGGGGAGCAAACAGGAUUAGAUACCCGGGUAGUC
Molecule: ribosomal RNA, 439 nt
Filed under: uncultured bacterium
Lineage: Bacteria
Description: partial 16S ribosomal RNA
Rfam family: Bacterial small subunit ribosomal RNA
Source: RNAcentral